GGGGCCCCCUACUCACACAACACUUCCUUGCAAUCAAGAAGGUCCAUUCGCCCACACACGUACCCCCUGUCCGCCACUUGGGACCCUAUGUGGUGGUUACCGUCCUCCCCGCUGGUCCGGCGAGGGAGGCUUUUAGAUGCUCUUCUGAUGAAGCGGCUGUAGCCGCGAAACUAGUCAAGAGGCUCGAUAUGACUUUCAAACCCAUUAUGUUUUUCCCCCUUGUGGGGACUAUUAUACUGGUGCUAUGUUGGUCGUAGAUUGUUUGCAUUUUUUAACCCUGUACCUCCCUGUGUCUUUAUUGAUAUCUGUACCCAAUAAAAAUGUUUUUUAUUAUCUACUUGUUUCCUUGUACACUGUAUACCUAUGCUACUAGUACCGUGAUAGUCCAACAAUG
This is a long non-coding RNA of Rana temporaria (common frog), 394 nucleotides long. RefSeq lists it as uncharacterized. The record is from RefSeq and is a predicted model, not a curated record. The transcript is spliced from 3 exons. Lineage: Eukaryota; Metazoa; Chordata; Amphibia; Anura; Ranidae.